RNAcentral lists this unclassified non-coding RNA (389 nucleotides) under Hevea brasiliensis (rubber tree). The record is from RNAcentral. Lineage: Eukaryota; Viridiplantae; Streptophyta; Magnoliopsida; Malpighiales; Euphorbiaceae.
GGAUGGUUGGUUGGUUUGCUUGGUUUUUGUAUGAUCAACUGCAUACAUUAUGGUGCCUGAAAUGAUCAACCUGUCAGCUGGGAAAAUGUCUGUUAACAGGCAAUUUGCUGGUUCUCUCUUCCUGCCCUUGCCUGAUAAUGUUCUUUCAACUCUCACAAAGUGGGGAGCCUCAUGUCCGCCUGGAAGUCCUUUUUAUCUUCUCAGUAUACAUUUUCAUUAGCCAGCUCAUCUCAUGUCAUCUACUUCAUCAUGUUUCUCAUCAGUGUUAAUCCUUAAUUAUUACCCACUUAGAUGAAUCUGUUAUUUUAUCAUAGCUCUUUUUGGUCAUAGGGCAUCAACUUUUGAUUUUCUUUGUUAAGAGGUUCUUUUACCUGAUUUUUUUCUUUUUG